UCCCUGGUGGACUAGUGGCUAGCAUGUGGUGCUCUCUUUGCCGUAGUCCAGGUUCGAUUCUUGGUCAGGGAA
Molecule: transfer RNA, 72 nt
Filed under: Pangasianodon hypophthalmus (striped catfish)
Lineage: Eukaryota; Metazoa; Chordata; Actinopteri; Siluriformes; Pangasiidae
Description: tRNA-Glu
Source: RNAcentral